Molecule: ribosomal RNA, 301 nt
Filed under: uncultured bacterium
Lineage: Bacteria
Description: partial 16S ribosomal RNA
Rfam family: Bacterial small subunit ribosomal RNA
Source: RNAcentral
CAGUCGCCGCGGUAAUACAGAGGAUGCAAGCGUUAUCCGGAAUGAUUGGGCGUAAGGCGUCUGUAGGUGGCUUUUCAAGUCCGCCAUCAAAUCCCAGGGCUCAACCCUGGACAGGCAGUGGAAACUACCAAGCUGGAGUACGGUAGGGGCAGAGGGAAUUUCCGGUGGAGCAGUGAAAUGCGUUGAGAUUGGAAAGAACACCAACGGCGAAAGCACUUUGCUGGGCCGACACUGACAUUGAGAGACGAAAUCUAGGGGAGCAAAUGGGAUUAGAUACCCGGGUAGUCCCUGUCUCUUAUAC